GGCGGAGUAGCUCAGUUGGUUAGAGCAGCGGAAUCAUAAUCCGCGUGUCGAUGGUUCGAGUCCGUCCUCCGCUACCA
This 77-nucleotide transfer RNA is filed under the name Alphaproteobacteria bacterium. RNAcentral's name for it is "tRNA-Met". It matches the Rfam family "tRNA". Rfam says of the family: Transfer RNA (tRNA) molecules are approximately 80 nucleotides in length. The record is from RNAcentral. Lineage: Bacteria; Pseudomonadati; Pseudomonadota; Alphaproteobacteria. RNAcentral also lists the same sequence under 1 other name.